CACGUAAGUUGCGAGCGUUGUUCGGAAUUAUUGGGCGUAAAGGGCAUGUAGGCGGAUAUGCAAGCUUGGUGUGAAAUUCUGGGGCUUAACUCCAGAACUGCGUUGAGAACUGCAUAACUAGAGUAACUGAGGGGCAGCCGGAAUUCCAGGUGUAGGGGUGAAAUCUGUAGAUAUCUGGAAGAACACCAAUGGCGAAGGCAGGCUACCAGCAGAUUACUGACGCUGAGGUGCGAAGGUGCGGGGAG
Molecule: ribosomal RNA, 245 nt
Filed under: uncultured Treponema sp.
Lineage: Bacteria; Pseudomonadati; Spirochaetota; Spirochaetia; Treponematales; Treponemataceae
Description: partial 16S ribosomal RNA
Rfam family: Bacterial small subunit ribosomal RNA
Source: RNAcentral